RNAcentral lists this ribosomal RNA (499 nucleotides) under uncultured bacterium. RNAcentral describes it as "partial 16S ribosomal RNA". It matches the Rfam family "Bacterial small subunit ribosomal RNA", at positions 899 to 1397 of the family's 1533-position model. The record is from RNAcentral.
ACUCAAAUGAAUUGACGGGGACCCGCACAAGCGGUGGAUGAUGUGGAUUAAUUCGAUGCAACGCGAAAAACCUUACCUACCCUUGACAUGGUCCAGACCUUUCAGAGAUGAAGGGGUGCUCGCAAGAGAAUGGAUACACAGGUGCUGCAUGGCUGUCGUCAGCUCGUGUCGUGAGAUGUUGGGUUAAGUCCCGCAACGAGCGCAACCCUUGUCAUUAAUUGCCAUCAUUAAGUUGGGCACUUUAAUGAGACUGCCGGUGACAAACCGGAGGAAGGUGGGGAUGACGUCAAGUCCUCAUGGCCCUUAUGGGUAGGGCUUCACACGUCAUACAAUGGUGCAUACAGAGGGUUGCCAACCUGCGAAGGGGAGCUAAUCUCAGAAAGUGCAUCGUAGUCCGGAUUGUAGUCUGCAACUCGACUGCAUGAAGUUGGAAUCGCUAGUAAUCGCGGAUCAGCAUGUCGCGGUGAAUACGUUCCCGGGUCUUGUACACACCGCCCGU